CAUGUCAUAUUACAUCACGAAUGCAAUUGCUGGAAAUAGAACAAAUUUGGCAGCAAGUAGAGUGUUAUGACAUUAUUUUGAAGCUUCAGUACUUUCUGGAGUUUACAAACCUGGUCGUCAAAUAUCAAUCCAUCCACCACUCUGAUAAGAACAUAGACCACCCAUCGCCACUUUUGGGGAAAACCAUCUUUGUCUAACCAGAUUGUAUCAGUGAUGUAGUAUGACAUG
This 228-nucleotide microRNA precursor is filed under the name Picea abies (Norway spruce). Its description in RNAcentral is "miR11498c stem-loop (pab-MIR11498c)". The record is from miRBase by way of RNAcentral. Lineage: Eukaryota; Viridiplantae; Streptophyta; Pinopsida; Pinales; Pinaceae.